AGGAAGGCAGUCGUCCUCCCUGGGUACAGUAUGUCAGAUUCCCUUCGAUUGGCAGGAAGGUUGGGCGCUCUCCAUUGCAGUUGCUUUCAGCAGGACAUUAGGCUGAAGCUCCCCUGCCCAGCAGCAGUGCUGAGCUCAAUCAGAGGGCUGCUGGGAAGAAUUCACUGGAAAGGCAGAUUAGACCUUUUGCCAAGCCCACUCUAUGACUUCCGGAGCCUGGGAGCAUAACAAAAUACUGCUGGGAGCUGUGCUGAGUUAGUGCCUGAUACAUACAGUUGGUCAUUAUGUUCCUAGGACCCCAGCGAUUGAGGAGGUGGCUUGGACACCAGAAUUAUUACAGAACUGUUCAGAAUUCACACAGGCCAAGAGCGUUUCCUUUCAUCCCUAGGUGGAUCCCAGGUGACAGAAACAAUGCAGCUUUUGAGAUACCACCACCACACACAGGACAGACAUCUCAGGGGAAGUCUCCAAGCCAAAGCAGCUUUUCUGACAGGUACCAAGUCCAGAUCAAACCCGGAUCAGUCCUCACAAUUUCUGUUGCCAGUCCUCAGGGAGGCCCAAAUAAGCUAUUCAGAAGAACCAAUGAGGAAAGUUCAUUUCAAACAAAUAAAUGGAACUCGCCUAAAAUUGAGAAAAUUCAGCCCAAAGGGAUUUCCCUGAGAUACAAUUUCCGGGCUGUUGCCAAUCAGACUAAAAUUACCCUCAAUGAAAGAUUCUCUGGCCUGCCCAUCCUCCCAAAGGAUUUCACAGUUACCAAACCUCGGAACAGAACCGUCACACUGCCUUAAAUGUUCACAGCUAUGAUAAUACAGAGUUAGUAGUUGCUUAAUGCAUUUUUUUUGCCAGAGAUAGUUAUUUUUCUUCAAAUAGUUUGCUGACAUAGACUUUCCACUUUAUGCUACAGUCUCAGUAAUCCAUUACUGUUGUGUGUAUACAUAUACCCCAAGGAACAAAAUCCCUGUGGGCUCUCUCUCUUCAUGUCCGUUUACUCGCAAAGUUGGCAGGUAACAUAGGAGACAGAAGGGGUGAAACAUCUCCGUGGCUUCUUACAGUCGCACCGUUGUCCUUUCCUCUUUGGGUGCCCUGUAGCAGUGGAGGGUUCGUUCACUCCCAGUUCACUUGUUCAUUAAAACUGAGGAACCCAUUUCAGAUCCUGUUCUACCAUUAGAGUAAACUAGCCCACAGGGGCUGCUCUGUCCAUAGCCUUGGGAGAGCAGUCACUCAGUCCAGCUGAACUUGACAUUUCCAAUGGAACAUCUGGGACAGACUGUUUGGCAUUUCUGUUGACAUUAACUGGCAUUGGACCUUAACAUGGAUUUGUAGAGAUUUACAGGUAGUUGCAUUCUAAGAUGGAGCACUGUCUACUAUGUGUACACAAACUAAAUAAAGACUAUGGAAACCAGGC
RNAcentral lists this long non-coding RNA (1405 nucleotides) under Phascolarctos cinereus (koala). Its description in RNAcentral is "lncRNA (ENSPCIG00000019370.2)". The record is from RNAcentral. Lineage: Eukaryota; Metazoa; Chordata; Mammalia; Diprotodontia; Phascolarctidae.